RNAcentral lists this RNase P RNA (401 nucleotides) under Prevotella sp. Its description in RNAcentral is "RNase P RNA component class A". It matches the Rfam family "Bacterial RNase P class A". Rfam says of the family: Ribonuclease P (RNase P) is a ubiquitous endoribonuclease, found in archaea, bacteria and eukarya as well as chloroplasts and mitochondria. Its best characterised activity is the generation of mature 5'-ends of tRNAs by cleaving the 5'-leader elements of precursor-tRNAs. Cellular RNase Ps are ribonucleoproteins. Lineage: Bacteria; Pseudomonadati; Bacteroidota; Bacteroidia; Bacteroidales; Prevotellaceae. The record is from RNAcentral.
GCACUGUCACGGUCUGUCGCUGGUGUCAAAAUGGCACGAGAGGAAAGUCCGGGCAGCAUAGGGCGCCCCACUUCUGAAAGUGGAAGCUAUUGGCGACAGUAGGUGCCGGUAGAAGAAAACGACCGCCUCUCUUCGGAGGGGUAAGGGUGAGAAGGUGGUGUAAGAGACCACCAGCCAACGGGUGAUCGUUGGGCUGUACCGACUGGGGGCUGCAAGUUCAUGUAAACCGUCCCGAGAGAGGGUUGCCCGCCCGAGUUGACGAAGGUCUGAGCAGCAAUGCGAGGGCCGGGGCUCAUGCGGCGGAGGGUAGAAUGCUUGAGCCAUGGGGUGACUCAUGGACUAGAUAAAUGACAGACACCGUGCAAGCGGUACAGAACCCGGCUUAUAGGGGCAGUGCUUUC